Oryctolagus cuniculus (rabbit) is the source of this 924-nucleotide non-coding RNA. NCBI's taxonomy places the organism in Eukaryota, Metazoa, Chordata, Mammalia, Lagomorpha, Leporidae. The record is from RefSeq and is a predicted model, not a curated record.
UUGAUUGCAACGGCCAGAACUGUGCUGAUCCGAAGCCAGGAGCCACGAGCUUCUUCCGGGUCUCCCACGUGGGUGCAGGGGCCCAAGGACUUGGGCCAUUCUUUACUGCUUUCCCAGGCCAUAGCAGAGAGCUGGAUAGGAAGUGGAGCAGCCGGGUCUCAAACCGGCGUCCAUAUGGGAUGCUGGUGCUUCAGGCCCGGGUGUUAACCUGCUGCGCCACAGCUCAGGCCCCUCAAGAAUGAAUUUCAGCACUGACAUGCUGAUUGUGGUCAACUUGUAUCUUAGUCCUAGUGUAAACUGGAUUCAAUCAAUUACAAUUACAUUGUGAUCCCAUCAUCGAUACCCAAUUGGAUUACCUUGUGAUGCUACUGUCUUGUGUAAAAAUCUGAUUCACUGCUUCUUCUUUUCAGUGUAUUUACUGCCUCAGAAGAUACAGGUGGUAUAGUGAAAUUUGGAAGACUGUCCCUGUGGCCAUUUGUAUCUCUUUUGGAGAAAUGUCUCUUCAAAUCCUCUGCCCACAGAACUGUGAAUGUCUCUUACAGGAGCCGGCACUGUGGUGUACUGGGUUCAGCCACCGUCUGUGAUGCUGGCAUCCCACAUGGGCACCCAUCUGAAUCUCAGCUGCUCCACUCCUGACACAGCUCCCUGCUAAUGUGCCCGGGAAAGAAGCAGUGGAUGGCUUGAGUUCUUGGGCCCCUGCACCCACAUGGGAGUCCUAGAAGAAGCUCCUGCUCUUGGGUCCCUGCACCCAUAUGGGAGUCCUAGAAGAAGCUCCUGGCCCCCUGGCUUUGGCCUUGCCUAAGCCUGAUCAUUGUGGCCAUCUGGGGAGUGAAUCAGCAGAUGGAAGACACACACUCAUUCUCUCUCUCUCUCUCUCUCUCUCUCUCUCUCUCUCUGUAACUCUUUCAUAUAAAUAAAAUAAAU